AUUGAACGCUGGCGGCAUGCUUUACACAUGCAAGUCGAACGGUAACAGGUCUUCGGAUGCUGACGAGUGGCGAACGGGUGAGUAAUGUAUCGGAACGUGCCCAGUAGUGGGGGAUAACUACUCGAAAGAGUGGCUAAUACCGCAUGAGAACUGAGGUUGAAAGCGGGGGACCUUCGGGCCUCGCGCUACUGGAGCGGCCGAUAUCAGAUUAGGUAGUUGGUGGGGUAAAGGCCUACCAAGCCGACGAUCUGUAGCUGGUCUGAGAGGACGACCAGCCACACUGGGACUGAGACACGGCCCAGACUCCUACGGGAGGCAGCAGUGGGGAAUUUUGGACAAUGGACGCAAGUCUGAUCCAGCAAUGCCGCGUGCAGGACGAAGGCCUCGGUUGUAAACUGCUUUGUUACAG
This 409-nucleotide ribosomal RNA is filed under the name uncultured bacterium. Its description in RNAcentral is "bacterial SSU rRNA". It matches the Rfam family "Bacterial small subunit ribosomal RNA", at positions 30 to 443 of the family's 1533-position model. The record is from RNAcentral.